CAGCUUGAGCAAUUCCGAGGGCUUCUCGGGGACGACGGAGAGCACCACAUUGAAGAUAACUUCCGCCCAGUGCUCCCCCUCAAUGACCGCACGGUCGAGAAAAUCACCCUGGUGUAAUACGAGCCUUCACGACGAUCCCCGGUUGUUGAGUUAAGGAUACUCUGCUAAAUGAAAAAGGAAGUGCGUUAGAGAGAGAGAGAGAGAGAGAGAGAGAGAGAGAGAGAGAGAGAGAGAGAGAGAGAGAGAGAGAGAGAGAGAAAGAGAAAGAGAGAGUGUAUUAGCAUCAGAAAGCUGAGUUUUUCCUUUUUCUGUUGUAUACUUCUAAUUUGUAAUUUCACUGGCUCAUAUUUCUAAAGAAAAAAACUUGAAUCAAAGUGAUUUUUCUUGAUGGUGAUGGUUUCUGAUUCUUAAUCUUGAAUAAAUACUGUCUGCAUU
RNAcentral lists this long non-coding RNA (435 nucleotides) under Penaeus japonicus. Its description in RNAcentral is "uncharacterized LOC122258680". The record is from RNAcentral. Lineage: Eukaryota; Metazoa; Arthropoda; Malacostraca; Decapoda; Penaeidae.